RNAcentral lists this ribosomal RNA (460 nucleotides) under uncultured bacterium. Its description in RNAcentral is "partial 16S ribosomal RNA". It matches the Rfam family "Bacterial small subunit ribosomal RNA", at positions 338 to 795 of the family's 1533-position model. The record is from RNAcentral.
CCUACGGGAGGCAGUAGUGAGGAAUAUUGGUCAAUGGGCGGGAGCCUGAACCAGCCAAGUCGCGUGAGGGAAGACGGUCCUAUGGAUUGUAAACCUCUUUAGGCGGGGAGCAAUGCCGGGCACGCGUGCCCGGAGGGAGAGUACCCGCAGAAUAAGCAUCGGCUAACUCCGUGCCAGCAGCCGCGGUAAUACGGAGGAUGCGAGCGUUAUCCGGAUUUAGUGGGUUUAAAGGGUGCGUAGGCGGAUUUUUAAGUCAGCGGUAAAAUGUCCGGGCUCAACCCGGGCCGGCCGUUGAAACUGGGGAUCUUGAGUGGGCGAGAAGUAUGCGGAAUGCGUGGUGUAGCGGUGAAAUGCAUAGAUAUCACGCAGAACUCCGAUUGCGAAGGCAGCAUACCGGCGCCCGACUGACGCUGAGGCACGAAAGCGUGGGGAUCGAACAGGAUUAGAUACCCCAGUAGUC